Panicum virgatum (switchgrass) is the source of this 917-nucleotide long non-coding RNA. RefSeq lists it as uncharacterized. The transcript is spliced from 2 exons. NCBI's taxonomy places the organism in Eukaryota, Viridiplantae, Streptophyta, Magnoliopsida, Poales, Poaceae. The record is from RefSeq and is a predicted model, not a curated record.
GCGACAUGCUACUAGUACUAGGUUUGUACUCAACAGUAAACUAUUUUGACAAAAGGCGAAGUGUAAUUUUACUGCUUCUCGAGCAAACUAUGCUGGUAGAGUUGCUGAUUAUCUUGGCAUGAUAAACUGAACUUUCUUAUCCUGCAUUUCUAUACUAUAAAAUCGAACAUUUCUUUCAGUAUGAGCAUCUCUAAAUCUGUCACUUAUGUCUGCAAAGUUGUGCUCUGUAGUUAGCUUUGUAUUGAACUAAUCUGUUUAGUAUAAUACCAAAACAUAUAUCACAUAGGGAUGAACCUGAAGUUUACUGACAGAUGUUUCAACUAAUUUUGUAGUCAUACAAAUUGUAUGUCUUGCUAUUACUUAUGCACUCUUAUGAAUAGGUAUAUGUGAAACUUCUGUGCACUAGUUCAUCACAUGGCAGUUCAUUUUCUGGAAUGAUAUAAAAAGGAGCCGUUCACAAUGGAGUAGCAGUUCACAAUGGAGUUAGCAGUUCAAAAUGCAACAGAGUUGGUGCAAAGAGUAUCAUGCAAGUUUAUUUCAAAUUGAGGAAGCUGAACUAAGCAUUAUGAAUCUGUAUGCUGAUUCCUAAUGAUAUAUAUCAAGAAGGCGUAAUUGUAAGGUAAUUAUUUCUUCCUUUUCACCUGCAUGCUUCCACCUAAUAUAUUGUUCCAUUUUCACCAAUCUAAUAAUUUGUUUUUAUGGCUUAGAGAGACAUGAUGGGUGCAACUUGGAGUAGCAUGUGAGCUCAUAUGCAUUGCUGAAUAAUCUUUUUACGUUUGUGUUAAGUAGAUCAAGUCUUGUUAGAUUGAUUCAAUAGUUUUCAACUGAGUUGAUUGUAACUUGCUACUGGAAUAUCUAUGAAUAUUUCUGCUCAUUAAAAUUAUUGCAUAUCAGCAGCAAUGUAUUUGUUUUCUGUA